CCAAAGAUGUGAAUUUUUAAUUGCUUAAUUUUAUUUAAAGAUUAAAUAAGUGUUUUUUGCUAUUUUAGAUCAAGAAUUGUCAAAUCCAAACCUAGAUCGGCAGAAAGCCAAGCAAAUUGACUAAAUCGGCUAGUCACCACAUUUUGUAAUCCGAGUGUCGCCUAACUAGCUCAAGGAUCACCAGAAGUCAGAGAUAUCGAUGACACUAUCAACCGAAGCUUUCGGUAUAGUUGGAUUUAUAUUUUUGAAUAUGACAUGUAUAGGACUUAGACUUUAUUAUUUUGUGUCUUUGAGAAUUGGCCAAAUGUGUUGGCUUGGGUUGGAAACCCUUCAAUUUGUAUUAAGUUUUGAAUAAUUGCUAACAUUCAUUUUGAAUUUAUAAAAGAUGCAUUAUUAUGGUUGAA
Gossypium arboreum is the source of this 404-nucleotide long non-coding RNA. RefSeq lists it as uncharacterized. The record is from RefSeq and is a predicted model, not a curated record. The transcript has 2 exons. NCBI's taxonomy places the organism in Eukaryota, Viridiplantae, Streptophyta, Magnoliopsida, Malvales, Malvaceae.